Molecule: ribosomal RNA, 478 nt
Filed under: uncultured bacterium
Lineage: Bacteria
Description: bacterial SSU rRNA
Rfam family: Bacterial small subunit ribosomal RNA
Source: RNAcentral
CGCUGGCGGCAUGCCUAACACAUGCAAGUCGAACGGGCAGCACGGGAGCAAUCCUGGUGGCGAGUGGCGAACGGGUGAGUAAUAUAUCGGAACGUGCCCAGUCGUGGGGGAUAACGUAGCGAAAGCUACGCUAAUACCGCAUACGAUCUAUGGAUGAAAGCGGGGGAUCGCAAGACCUCAUGCUCAUGGAGCGGCCGAUAUCUGAUUAGCUAGUUGGUGGGGUAAAGGCCUACCAAGGCUUCGAUCAGUAGCUGGUCUGAGAGGACGACCAGCCACACUGGAACUGAGACACGGUCCAGACUCCUACGGGAGGCAGCAGUGGGAAAUUUGGACAAUGGGCGAAAGCCUGAUCCAGCAAUGCCGCGUGAGUGAAGAAGGCCUUCGGGUUGUAAAGCUCUUUUGUCAGGGAAGAAACGGUGGACUCUAAUACAGAUCACUAAUGACGGUACCUGAAGAAUAAGCACCGGCUAACUACGUG